GUCUACAGUCAUGCCACCCUGAACAAGCCCGAUGUCUGAUCUCAGAAACUAAGCAGGGUUGGGCCUGGUUAGUACUGGGAUGGGAGACCAUUUAGGAAGUCCAGGUGCUGUAGCCA
RNAcentral lists this ribosomal RNA (116 nucleotides) under Pteropus alecto (black flying fox). The record is from RNAcentral. Lineage: Eukaryota; Metazoa; Chordata; Mammalia; Chiroptera; Pteropodidae.